This is a non-coding RNA of Salmo salar (Atlantic salmon), 58 nucleotides long. NCBI's taxonomy places the organism in Eukaryota, Metazoa, Chordata, Actinopteri, Salmoniformes, Salmonidae. The record is from Rfam.
UGGCUCAGUUGGUAGAGCAUGGUGUGUGCAACACCAGGGUUGUGGGUUCAAUUCCCAC